Long non-coding RNA from Onychostoma macrolepis, 1176 nucleotides. RefSeq lists it as uncharacterized. Lineage: Eukaryota; Metazoa; Chordata; Actinopteri; Cypriniformes; Cyprinidae. The record is from RefSeq and is a predicted model, not a curated record. The transcript is spliced from 5 exons.
AUUCAGCAAUUCCCAUCCCCCACGCAGCACGCGCUGCAUCGCGCCGACGCCAUUACUGCUCUCUGACUGCUUUGCUGUAAUUUUCGAGAGAAGACGUUUGCCGUCAGUGUAACCAAGCUCAAACUGCAGAGUUUGGCAAUGGGCUGUGUGCUCACGAUACAGGAAGAUUACGACGACGAUGUGAAAUGGCUUAUAGCAGAGAAGCUAAGGUUAGUGUAAAUAAGGUACGUUAGCCUGGGACAGAUCUCCAUUUGAACAGUAAACAAGGCUGUUGUACUUUUAACAAUACAUAAAAUACAAUAAUAGUACAACAAUAUUGAAUAUUUAUCAUGCAAACAGGAGUUUCUGCCUUAUAUAAAUCUGCAACAGUUUGCAUUCGGGUGUUAUUACAAAUCAUACAAAUUAUUAUGACUAUACAAAUGUUUUUGCCUAAAUUAGAAUUUUAAUUUUUUUAAAGUAAUAAGCAUUUUUCUUACAGAAAGUAAUCGGACGGUCUUGGAUGUUGAUGCAGUGGAGCAGAAAUUGGCAGACCCCAACUUCCAGAAACAAGUGGUUGCUGUGGUGGCAGUACUGUGGAUGAAGCCAGGAGAAGAAUGAGGGCCUUCCUUUUGGACCACCCUGCAUCAAGAGAGUUCAAUUUUGUUGGCCGGCAUGGAAAGUGAGAGUUUCAGGGGCUCAGACUGCUUGAGGUUGUAUAAGGAAGCUUGAAAAAAAUUCUCUUAACCAAAUUACCAGAAAAGAGGAGGAAAGUCAGCGUCAAAGUGGCUCAUCGGUGACGGGAGGAAACCGCUCUGCAAAGUCACGUAGUAGAGAGUAAGAUAGGGCCGUUGGGAGAGCGAGGACAGAGGUGUGAGGAGCUGCACGGUUGGUUUGUUUGUUUGUGAAAUGUAUUUUAGAGUUUUCAGAUAUGUGUAUACAAACGAUACAAGUUAUUCCAAAUAAUGUUUGGCAGGAGCUUCACUUUAACUUUUUUUAAGAUGCUUAUGUUUUAUAAAGUUGUAAAUACACAAGUUAUAAUGGUCAUGUUCAAAUUAUUCCAACGAAACCUUGUUUAAAGCAUGCAGAAUACAAGUUAUGAAGAUUUUUAUUUUUACAAGAAAUAAAGUUUUUCAGGAGCUUAAAAUUAACUCUUUUUUAAAAAAAAUUUUUUAUAUUUACUUGUUUUAUAAAGUUGUG